UAGGUCUCAGUUCAGAUUGCAGGCUGCAACCCGCCUGCAUGAAGUCGGAAUUGCUAGUAAUCGCGGAUCAGCAUGCCGCGGUGAAUACGUUCCCGGGCCUUGUACACACCGCCCGUCACACCAUGGGAGCCGGUAAUGCCCGAAGUCAGUAGCCUAACCGCAAGGAGGGCGCUGCCGAAGGUAGGAUUGGCGACUGGGGUGAAGUCGUAACAAGGUAUC
This 219-nucleotide ribosomal RNA is filed under the name uncultured bacterium. RNAcentral's name for it is "partial 16S ribosomal RNA". It matches the Rfam family "Bacterial small subunit ribosomal RNA", at positions 1282 to 1500 of the family's 1533-position model. The record is from RNAcentral.